UACAGAGGGGGCAAGCGUUAUUCGGAAUUACUGGGCGUAAAGCGUGCGCAGGCGGUUUUGUAAGACUGUCGUGAAAUCCCCGGGCUUAACCUGGGAAUGGCGAUGGUGACUGCAAGGCUAGAGUUUGGCAGAGGGGGGUAGAAUUCCACGUGUAGCAGUGAAAUGCGUAGAGAUGUGGAGGAACACCGAUGGCGAAGGCAGCCCCCUGGGUCAAAACUGACGCUCAUGCACGAAAGCGUGGGGAGCAAACAGG
This 253-nucleotide ribosomal RNA is filed under the name uncultured bacterium. RNAcentral's name for it is "partial 16S ribosomal RNA". It matches the Rfam family "Bacterial small subunit ribosomal RNA", at positions 524 to 776 of the family's 1533-position model. The record is from RNAcentral.